GACCGCGUAGCUCAGUUGGAAGAGCAUUGGGCUAGUAUUCCAAAGGUCGUAGGUUCGAAUCCCACCUUGGCCG
Paramuricea clavata is the source of this 73-nucleotide non-coding RNA. The record is from the annotation of a GenBank genome assembly. NCBI's taxonomy places the organism in Eukaryota, Metazoa, Cnidaria, Anthozoa, Malacalcyonacea, Plexauridae.